UUGAACGCUGGCGGCAGGCCUAACACAUGCAAGUCGAGCGGAUGAAGGGAGCUUGCUCCUGGAUUCAGCGGCGGACGGGUGAGUAAUGCCUAGGAAUCUGCCUGGUAGUGGGGGAUAACGUCCGGAAACGGGCGCUAAUACCGCAUACGUCCUGAGGGAGAAAGUGGGGGAUCUUCGGACCUCACGCUAUCAGAUGAGCCUAGGUCGGAUUAGCUAGUUGGUGGGGUAAAGGCCUACCAAGGCGACGAUCCGUAACUGGUCUGAGAGGAUGAUCAGUCACACUGGAACUGAGACACGGUCCAGACUCCUACGGGAGGCAGCAGCGGGGAAUAUUGGACAAUGGGCGAAAGCCUGAUCCAGCCAUGCCGCGUGUGUGAAGAAGGUCUUCGGAUUGUAAAGCACUUUAAGUUGGGAGGAAGGGCAGUAAGUUAAUACCUUGCUGUUUUGACGUUACCAACAGAAUAAGCACCGGCUAACUUCGUG
RNAcentral lists this ribosomal RNA (483 nucleotides) under uncultured bacterium. RNAcentral's name for it is "partial 16S ribosomal RNA". It matches the Rfam family "Bacterial small subunit ribosomal RNA", at positions 30 to 507 of the family's 1533-position model. The record is from RNAcentral.